AAUAAGGUGGCUGAGGUGAGGCGUUAGAUUGUAAAUCUAUUGACGGAUUAAGAUCCUCUUAUU
RNAcentral lists this transfer RNA (63 nucleotides) under Munidopsis verrilli. RNAcentral describes it as "tRNA-Tyr". The record is from RNAcentral. Lineage: Eukaryota; Metazoa; Arthropoda; Malacostraca; Decapoda; Munidopsidae.